Molecule: non-coding RNA, 5954 nt
Organism: Penaeus vannamei (Pacific white shrimp)
Lineage: Eukaryota; Metazoa; Arthropoda; Malacostraca; Decapoda; Penaeidae
Source: RefSeq, a predicted model, not a curated record
CCCAACACACGUUAUAAAAGAGGUGGUAUGUGUCAGGUUCCCUCAGUGGGAAGCGGGACUUCUCGUGGCAGCGGUGACGAAUACAAAGAAAUUUCAGUACCCGCCGACUGUACUUGAGUUACUCUUCGUAGUCGCUCCGCUCGCACCUCCAGCAUGCCUGGCCACGUUGUGAAGAGCACGGGUCCCGACCCCGACCCCACCGAAUACCUCUUCGUUUCCCCUGAACAAAAGCGCAUCGACCAGACGAAGCCGUACGACCCCAAGAAGUCCGUCUGGGCUCCCGAUCCCGAGGAGGGCUUCGUUGAAGCUAUUCUCCAGGGAGCCAAAGGCGACAAGCUGGUAACGGUUAAGCUUCCCAACGGUGAAACGAAGGACUUCAAAAAGGAAGUCAUCGGUCAGGUCAACCCUCCCAAAUACGAAAAAUGUGAGGAUGUGUCUAAUCUGACUUUCCUUAACGAUGCUUCUGUCCUGUACAACCUAAAGACCCGUUAUCAGGCCAGACUUAUCUACACUUACUCCGGUCUUUUCUGCAUUGUCGUCAACCCCUACAAGCGCUACCCCAUCUACACCAACCGCGUCGUCAAAAUCUACCAGGGCAAGAGGCGUAAUGAGGUGCCCCCUCAUCUCUUCGCCAUCUGCGACGGUGCCUACGCGAACAUGAUGCAAGAGCGUCAGAACCAGUCUAUGCUCAUCACUGGCGAGUCUGGAGCCGGCAAGACUGAGAACACAAAGAAGGUGUUGUCUUAUUUUGCCAACGUCGGCGCCUCCGGAAAGAAAGAAGACAACAAAAAGAACUUAGAGGACCAGAUUAUCCAGACCAACCCCAUCCUUGAGGCCUAUGGUAACGCCAAAACCACUCGUAAUGACAACUCUUCUCGUUUCGGUAAGUUCAUCCGUGUGCACUUCAUGCCCACCGGUAAACUGUCUGGCGCUGAUAUCGAGGUCUACCUGCUGGAGAAGGCUCGUGUCAUCUCCCAGUCCCCCGCCGAGCGAGGCUACCAUAUCUUCUACCAGUUGAUGUGCGACCAGAUUGAAAACAUUAAGCCAAUCUGUCUACUGUCGAAUGAUAUCUACGACUAUCACUUCGUGUCCCAAGGAAAAGUAACCGUCCCAUCCAUUGACGACAAGGAAGACAUGCAGUUCACUCAUGAUGCAUUUGACAUCCUGAACUUUACCAAUGAAGAGAGAGACAACUGCUACAAGGUCACGGCGUCUAUCAUGCACUUUGGCAACUGCAAGUUCAAGCAGAGGGGACGCGAGGAGCAGGCCGAACCCGAUGGAACUGAGCCCGGUGAAAUUGUUGGAAAGCUUCUUGGUGUAGACGGCGAGGAGCUCUAUAGGAACCUGUGUAAACCCAAGAUCAAGGUCGGCACUGAGUUCGUCACUCAAGGAAGGAAUGUCGAUCAGGUCAACUACAGCGUCGGUGCUAUGUCAAAGGCUCUGUUCGACCGUACUUUCAAGUGGAUUGUCAAGAAGUGUAACCUGACACUUGAGACUGGCCUGACUCGUUCCAUGUUCAUUGGCGUGCUCGACAUCGCCGGCUUUGAAAUCUUCGACUUCAACGGUUUCGAGCAGAUCUGUAUCAACUUCUGUAACGAGAAGCUGCAACAGUUCUUCAACCACCACAUGUUCGUACUAGAACAGGAGGAAUAUGCAAGAGAAGGUAUUGUGUGGCAGUUCGUUGACUUCGGCAUGGAUCUGCAGGCUUGCAUUGAGCUCUUUGAAAAGAAAAUGGGUAUCCUCUCCAUUCUUGAGGAAGAGUCUAUGUUCCCCAAGGCUACUGACAAAACAUUCGAGGAGAAGCUCAAUAUCAACCAUCUUGGAAAGUCACCUUGCUUCAUCAAGCCCAAGCCUCCAAAGGCCGGUCAGCCUGAGAACCACUUUGCCAUUGUUCACUACGCUGGUACUGUGUCCUACAACCUGACUGGCUGGCUUGAGAAGAACAAGGAUCCUCUCAACGACACCGUCGUCGACCAGCUCAAGAAGUCUUCCAAUGCCCUGACGGUUGAGCUGUUCGCUGAUCAUCCUGGCCAAUCUGGAGAUGGAGGCGGCAAAGGAGGAAAGGGAGGAAAACAGCAAACUGGUUUCAAAACCGUGUCUUCGGGUUACAAGGAUCAACUGAGUAACUUGAUGAAGACGCUGAACGCCACUCACCCUCACUUCAUCCGUUGCAUUGUGCCCAACGAGUUCAAGAAACCAGGUGUUGUUGAUGCCGGCCUCAUUAUGCAUCAGUUGACCUGCAACGGUGUACUUGAGGGCAUCCGUAUCUGCCGGAAGGGAUUCCCCAACAGGAUGCCUUAUGCUGACUUCAAGACGCGUUACAAUAUCCUGGCCGCCAAGGAGAUGCUCGAGGCGAAGGACGAUAAGAAAGCGGCCAAGGCAUGCUUCGACAAGGUCGCCCUCGACGCAGAGUUAUACCGCACAGGGAACACUAAGGUGUUCUUCCGCGCCGGUGUCCUGGGUACCCUCGAGGAGAUUCGCGACGACCGGAUCUGCCUGCUCAUGUCCCAUCUCCAGUCGUGGAUCCGCGGCUACGCCAGCCGAAAGCAAUAUGCCAAAAUGCAGAAGCAGAGAAAUGCUCUCAUUAUCAUCCAGCGCAACAUCAGGAAGUACCAGAAGAUGCGCUCUUGGCUCUGGUACGAGAUGUGGACGAAGCUGAAGCCCAAGCUCAACGUUACUCGCAUUGAGGAUGAGCUGGCUAGGCUGGAGGAAACCGCUGAGAAGGCUGAGGCUGAGUAUGAAAAGGAAACGAAACUCCGCGAGGAACUUGAGAUAAAAAAUGCUGCUCUUCUUCAGGAGAGGAAUGACCUUUUGUCAGCCGUAGAGUCUAGCAAAGGUGGUAUGUCUGACUAUCUAGAUAAGCAGGCCAAGUUGCAAGCUCAGAAGGCUGAGUUAGAGGCCCAGCUUAACGAAACCCUAGAACGCCUCCAAGGUGAAGAGGAAGCUCGCAACCAGUUGGAUAACGGCAGGAAAAAAUGUGAACAGGAGGUUAACCUGAAAGGACCUGGAAGAUCUCGAGCUCUCCAUCCAGAAAGGCGAGCAGGACAAGCUCACAAAAGAUCAGCAGAUCCAUAAUCUUAAAGACGAAGUCGCUCACCAAGAGGAACUAAUCACUAAGGUAAAUAAGGAAAAGAAGCACCUUCAGGAAUGCAACCAGAAGACUGCCGAAGAUCUCCAGGCCAUUGAGGACAAGUGCAACCACCUCAACAAAGUCAAGGGAAAACUUGAAUCAACGCUCGAUGAACUCGAGGAUUCUCUCGAACGCGAGAAGAAGCUUCGCAGUGAGGUAGAGAAGGCCAAAAGGAAAGUCGAAGGUGACCUCCGGCUGACCCAGGAAGCUGUUUCUGAUCUCGAAAGGAAUCACAAGGAACUCGAAAUGGCCGUCGAACGCAAGGAUAAGGAGAUUUCUGCCAUCACUGCCAAAAUCGAGGAUGAACAGCUUCUUGUGAACAGGGACCAAAGGCAGGUCAAGGAACUGCAAGCUCGCCUGGAGGAACUCGAGGAGGAAGUCGAGCAUGAACGUCAAGCCCGCGCGAAGGCCGAAAAAGCCAAGAAUAAUCUCUCUCGCGAGCUGGGAGAACUUGGCGAGCGACUGGAUGAGGCCGGCGGUGCCACGGCGACUCAGAUCGAGAUCAACAAAAAGCGUGAGAGCGAACUCGCUAAGGUCCGGCGCGAGAUCGAAGAAGCCAACCUCCAGCAUGAGGCCGCCCUAGCUUCCCUGCGCAAGAAGCACAAUGAUGCCAUUGCUGAGAUGUCUGAGCAGAUCGACUAUCUCAACAAGAUGAAGGCCAGAGUUGAGAAAGAUAAGGAGACAAUGAAGCGUGAUGCAGAUGAUGCAAGAGCUUCCAUGGAUUCCCUUAGUCGUGAAAAGACUGCUUCCGAGAAGACUACCAAGCAACUUCAACAUCAGUUAAGUGAACUCCACGCUAAGCUCGACGAAGCCAACCGCACCUUGAGUGACUUUGACGCCACCAAGAAGAAGCUUGCCUGCGAGAAUGCUGACCUGGUCCGCCAGCUGGAAGAGGCGGAGAACCAAGUCGGCCAGCUGUCCAGGCUGAAGCUGUCUCUCACCAACCAGCUGGAUGACACAAGGAAGCUCGCUGAUGAGGAGAGCAGGGGACGUGCCACACUCUUGGGUAAGCUGCGCAACUUAGAGCACGAUAUUGACGUUCUUCGCGAGCAACUGGAAGAGGAGAGCGAGGCGAAGGCGGACGUUCAGCGAAUGCUCUCCAAGGCUAACGCUGAGGCUCUCAUGUGGCGCUCCAAGUACGAGUCUGAAGGUGUUGCCCGUGCAGAGGAACUUGAAGCUUCUCGCAUGAAGCUCGCCGCUCGUCUCGAGGAAGCCGAAAUGCAGAUCGAAUCGCUCAAUGUUAGGAACUUGCAUCUUGAGAAGACCAAGGUGCGUGCUUCCGCCGAAUUAGAGGAUCUCCAGGCUGCUGCUGAGCGUGCGCAGACCCUUGCUCUUGCCGCUGAGAAGAAACAGAAGAACUUCGAUAAGAUCCUCUCAGAAUGGAAGAUGAAGGUUGAUGACCUUUCUGCUGAACUCGAUGCCUCCCAGAAGGAAUGCCGCAACUACUCCACCGAACACUUCCGUCUAAAGGCGGCCUACGAAGAGAACAUCGAACAACUCGACAGCAUCCGGCGUGAGAACAAGAACCUCAGUGAUGAGAUUAAAGACCUGAUGGACCAGAUUGGCGAAGGUGGGCGAGCUUAUCAUGAAGCUCAGAAGAACUGUAAACGACUGGAAGUCGAGAAGGAAGAGCUCCAAGCAGCUCUCGAGGAGGCUGAGGCAGCUCUGGAACAGGAGGAGAACAAGGUCCUCCGAACACAGCUCGAACUCAGCCAAGUCAGGCAAGAGAUUGACAGACGUAUUCAGGAGAAGGAAGAAGAAUUUGAAAAUACUCGCAAGUGUCACCAGCGUGCAAUUGAUUCCAUGCAAGCGUCUCUUGAGGUUGAAGCCAAGGGCAAGGCUGAGGCUCUUCGUAUAAAGAAGAAACUCGAGUCCGAUAUCAACGAGCUCGAGAUUGCCCUUGACCACGCCAAUAAGGCCAAUUCCGACCUUCAUAAACAUUACAAGAAGAUUCAGGAAGAGACCAAGGACAUGGAAGCCCGCGUUAAGGAGGAACAACGUCUUGCCGCUGAGUUUCUUGAACAGUAUGGCAUUGCUGAACGCCGUGCCAAUGCUCUUCAUGGAGAGCUGGAGGAAUCCCGCGCUCUCCUGGAGCAGUCCGACCGCGGGCGCCGCCAGGCCGAGUCUGAGCUGAACGAUGCACGCGAUCAUGUCAACAGCCUCACCGAACAGAACUCUGCUCUCAACGCCUCCAAGAGAAAGCUCGAGGGUGAAAUGCAGACACUGCAUGCUGACCUUGAAGAGAUGCUUAGCGAAGCAAAGAACUCCGAGGAAAAAGCAAAGAAGGCCAUGAUCGAUGCUGCUCGUUUGGCUGAUGAACUCCGCUCUGAGCAGGAGCAUGCAAUGACACAAGAAAAGAUGCGCAAGGGUCUCGAGGUUACCGUUAAAGAGCUGCAGACUCGCCUUGAGGAGACUGAAAGUACUGUCAUGAAGACCGGAAAGAAGGCGAUCAGCAACCUCGAAUCUCGUAUCCGUGAGCUCGAGGCUUCGCUGGACGACGAGUCUCGUCGCCAUGCAGACUCUCAGAAGAACCUGAGGAAGUGCGAGAGGCGCAUCAAGGAGCUCGCCUUCCAGGCUGACGAGGAUAAGAAGAAUCAUGAGAGGAUGCAGGACCUCGUCGAUAAGCUCCAGCAGAAGAUCAAGACCUACAAGCGCCAGAUCGAGGAGGCUGAGGAGAUCGCCGCUCUCAACCUGGCCAAGUUCCGUAAGGCUCAGCAGGAGCUUGAGGAAGCAGAGGCCUCCAAGUAUUAAACUUUGUUGAUUUCAGAUCUAUGUGAUUUGAAACAACAGAGUCAUAGAUGUAGAAAUAAAAUAAGAAAAUUAA